GUCUCAUUGUGUUGCCCAGGCUGGUCUUGGACUCCUGAGCUCUAGCAAUCCUACCGCCUCUGCGUCCCAAACUGUUGGGAUUACAGACGUGAGCCACUGCACCUAGCCUAUUUCUUUCCCUUUUUGUCUCUUUUCAAUUUUUUUUUUAAACAAAAAGAGCAGUCUCUUUGAUCCAGAGCUUCAUGGGAGGGAAAAGCAAGUUGAUUGAAGGAAAAAUCUGUGGUCCGGGGAGAUGUUCCAAAUCCUGGAGGUGGAGAGGAAUGAAUGACGUUUGUGGCUUGCAGAUCAACUCCCCGCAGCGGGCGUGACGUCAUUGCAGCCAAAAUUGUCCUCCACGCACUGCUACGGCAGAGGAGCAACAAGCUGGAUGAGCAGCAGAUGAGUGAUGUCUCCUCAGUGACCACCAGGAUUUCCUCUCCAGGGACAGCCUUCAUUUCCUGCUCACUCUGCCUGGCGCAUCGCAGCCUUGGCCCCAUUUAACAGGUGAGGAAACUGAGACUCUAGGCAGCAUUCCCAUGCCUGGAACCAUCAGCUCCAACUUCCCCAGGCCCUGCUACCCUCUAGGUGGGAGAGAAUUCUAGGAGCCCUUGGCCUACCUGGGAGGAUGACUUGGGGUCCUGAAGACUUGGCCACCUCUUCCAGGAAGUCUUCCUGUCUUGAGCUGGCCGGGAACCUUUCUCCUCUGAAUCCUGC
This 693-nucleotide long non-coding RNA is filed under the name Macaca nemestrina (pig-tailed macaque). RNAcentral's name for it is "lncRNA (ENSMNEG00000045833.1)". The record is from RNAcentral. Lineage: Eukaryota; Metazoa; Chordata; Mammalia; Primates; Cercopithecidae.